GUGAUCAAGGGAUAGACAUCUUGGAAGAUGAUUUUUUUAGGCUUCUUGGUGAUUUUGACGUCAGUCCAAGCUGUGUCUGUGCCUACCUUCUCCCCCGUGUAUGAGCUGAAGGUGGGGUACGGAGACAAUGUCACCCUCCCCUGUAACUUUUCCUCCUACCUGGGCCAGGAGGAUGAGGGGGAGGUCCGCUGGGAGGCCAUGGGGCAGGAGGUGGCCUCUAUGGAGGUUGGGAACAUCCUUGGUGAGGCCAGAUGGGACGACGGCGCCAAGGGGUUGGAGGUCAAAACGACACUGGGGUUCUCUUCCCGGGUGGAAUUCCCCCCAGCAGAGAGGAUGAGAGAUGGAGACUUCUCUAUGACCAUCCAGGAGACAGUGCUGAGCGAUGAGGAAAUGUACGAGUGUAUCUGGCUGGGCCGCAAGACCAUCUCUACAGUCUGGCUCAAGGUUCAGGAGCCCGACCCUCCACGCUCUAUCACGCUGUUCAAGGGAAGCCCGGUCACUCUGCCCUGCUACGGUGUCAUCCCCAAGACCCAGCCCACCAGCCAGAUCUACGUCCAAUGGCUGAAGGACGAUGUGGAGAUCAUGACCCUUAACCCUGGCCCAGACGACAAGGGACCUAAGGAAGAAGACCUCCGUCUCUCUCUCCCACCCAACAACCUGCUGGAGAACGGUGACCUGUCCUUGUAUAUCUACAAGACGGAGCUCAAAGACCAGGGAGUCUAUCGCUGCUUCUACAAGUCCAGGGGCUUCGAGGACCCUAAGAGUGGGAUACCAGAGGGUGUCUCUCUCACCAUCCUAGAUCCAUACACUGACCUAUAUAACUUAACAGGAACAGAGAAUGUCACCAGUAGCUCAGACUUUAGUGGGACUAGUGGUGACAGUGAGAACCCAAUAACAUUCUUCACUUUGGUGACCCAAGAUAAGGAGGAUAUGCAAGUGACAUCAUCUGAGCCAAUACUAGUGCAGACAGAGAUGACACCAUCAUCACCUGACACAACCUUUGAGGAUCCAGAAGACGUGUUGGCAGUGUGGGCAAAGACCCUUCCGCUGGUGCGUAUCGGGAUAAUCACCGUGGUUCUGCUGGUUACAGCUCUGAUCUUCUUCCCUCUGCUGGUUCUCAACAAGAUCCCAUCCUAGACCCACAUUAGGGUAGAGAGGGUAGACCCAAGGGUUAGGGCAAAGUCAUUCAAUUAUGGCUCUGGAGGGCUGAAAAACAUUUUCAUUCUCUUUUAAUCAGACUGAUUCAGAUUUGGGUCUAUCGGGUGACUCUUGGCCAAUCAAUUACAUCCAUUGAUAAUUCACUCAGGGCUAGUAACUUUUUAAAGUGUAUACAGUGCAUUUGUAAAGUAUUCAGACCUUUGUUUUUUCCACAUUUUGUUACGUUACAGGCUUAUUCUAAAAUAUAUUACAUUAUUUUUUGUCUCAUCAAUCUACACACAAUACCCCAUUAUGACAAAUUGAAAACAGGUUUUGAGACAUUUUUGCAAAUGUUUAAAAAAACAUAGCUUAUUUACAUAAGUAUUCAGACCCUUUGGGAUGAGACUCGAAAUUGAGCUCAGGUGCAUCCUGUUUCAAUUGAUCAUCCUUAAGAUGUUUCUACAACUUGUUUGGAGUCCAUCUAUGCUAAAUUAAAAUUAAUUGGACGUGAUUUGGAAAGGCAUACACCUGUCUGUAAAGUCCCACAGUUGACAGUGCAUGUCAGAGCAAAAACCAAGCCAUGAGGUCGAAGGAAUUGUCCGUAGAGCUCUGAAACCGGAUUGUGUCGAGGCACAUUUCUGGGGAAGGGCACCAACAAAUGUCUGCAGCAUUGAAGGUCCCCAAGAACACAGUGGCCUCCAUCAUUCUUAAACGGAAGAAGUUUGGAACCACCAAGACUCUUCCUAGAGCUGACCUCCCGGCCAAACUGAGCAAUCGGGGGAGAAGAGCCUUAGUCAGGGAGGUGACCAAGAACCCAAUGGUCACUCUGACAGAGCUCCAGAAUUCCUCUGUGGAGAUGGGAGAACCAUCAGGAGGUACAACCAUCUCUGCAGCAUUCCACCAAUCAGGCCUUUAUGGUAGAGUGGCCAGACCGAAGCCACUCCUCAGUAAAAGUCAAGACACAAAAGACACCUAAAGGACUCUCAGACCAUGAGAUACAAGAUUAUCUGGUCUGAUGAAACCAAGAUUGAACUAUUUGGCCUGAAUGCCAAGUGUCACGUCCGGAGGAAACCUGGAACCAUCCGUACGGUGAAGCAUGGUGGUGGCAGCAUCAUGCUGUGGGGAUGUUUUUCAGCGGCCGGGACUGGGAGACUAGUCAGGAUCGAGGGAAAGAUGAACGGUGCAAAGUACAGACAGAUCUUUGAUGAAAACCUGCUCCAGAGCGCUCAGGACCUCAAACUAGGGCGAAGAUUCACCUUCCAACGGGACGACGACCCUAAGCACACAGCCAAGACAGCACAGGCGUGGCUUCGGGACAAGUCUGUGAAUGUCCUUCAGUGGCCCAGCCAGAGCCCGGACUUGAACCCACUCUAACAUCUCUGCUGAGGCCUGAAAAUAGCUGUGCAGCGACGCUCCCCACCCAACCUGACAGAGCUUGAGAGGAUCUCCAGAGAAGUAUGGGAGAAACUCCCCAACUACAUUUAUGCCAAGCUUUUUGCUUUGUCACUAUGGGGUAUUGUGUGUAGAUUGAUAAGGGGAAGAAAAACUAAUUAAUCCAUUUUAGUUUAAGGCUGCAACGUAACAAAAUACAAAUGCACUGUAUAUGUGAAUAGUCUGAAAAUGCUACAUUAUCUUAGCCACAUUAAAGCUACAGCCUCUAUGCAUUUGUCCUCUGCGAUGCUGGAUCAACCCCUCAUCUGAGCUGCCAGUGAGAAGUCUGAGAUCGUUUGAUGAUGUCUGCCCUGCUACGUCCGCUGAAUGCUUUGGAGGUUGUGUAUUGGAAUGUGGGAUUGGACUCAAGGGCUCAGAUGAACCCUGCUAUGCUCUGUCCUUAUAUAGUAUUCCUAUUAAUAUCUCUGCCUUGGAAUGAUGACAAGGGCGGGGAGACAGUCUUCAAAUACUGAACUGCACCAUUUGAAAACACAGUAUUGGAUGUACAAUAAACGUGUGUUGCGAGCGCAUUGCAAAUAAACAUUAAAUACAUG
This is a long non-coding RNA of Salmo trutta (river trout), 3122 nucleotides long. Ensembl lists it as uncharacterized. The record is from Ensembl. Lineage: Eukaryota; Metazoa; Chordata; Actinopteri; Salmoniformes; Salmonidae.